AUCAACUUCCGGUAGAUAGGCGAAGCGCUAGUACAAUAAAACUGUAACAAUACCGUUAGUUUACAGUAUACUAAAAUAAACUAAUAGUAUGUAGUAUAUACUCAUUAAGUAUGUAGUAUACAGUAUGUUAGUAUGGGUAUUCGAACACAGUUAUGUUCUCUUUUUUGCUUUCUUGAGUAAGACAGCUCCAAAAUGCAGGUGCUUCAGCCUAGCUCAGUGCUUUCUGUAGUGGUGGGGCAGCCAGCGGAAAAUACAAAGUGUAGGGGUCGGUAAUGUUCUCUAGUUGCGCCGUGAUUUGAUAGGACUGAUUAUGUCAACAUCAUACUUUCAAAAUCUUAGCUAGCAGUCAUCAUCAUGAAUCAAGUCGACAAUCUACUGGCAAACUCGGAACUGGGAAAUCUGACUUCAGUGAGUUCAAGACAACUGGGUACUCGGAAAAAGCACCAUAAAAAAGCACCAUAAAUCCAGAGAAUGUUUGAUGACAAAAUUUGCCCACGGAGGACCGCUGCACAACCUUCCUGUUCAACCACUUUGUCCAGCAACACAGUGAUCUUCUCAUCCUCCAGACGACGUUCCUUCAGAAACUUGAUGAAGACACCGUUGGUGAAUCUGCUAGAACUCAGCUCAUAAGCUUCUGCAUCUUGGCAGCUGCACAAUAGAAGAAUGGAACCACAUUGGGGAAUAUAUAAUUUCAUUUGUUCCUACAAAGUAACAUGCUACAAAUAGAAGUUUAGAUAUAUUUUUGAGUAAUCAGAUUACUUACAUUGCAUAUCCAAAAACAAUGUUAGCUGUGACCCUCAAUAGUAUGAAUAUUUAUAAAAAGAAAAAUUAAACAGUCACAAUAUUAAACAAUAUAAUAACAACAGUAUGGUGAGGGGCUUUAUAUCCCAUGUUGCUAACAGGGAGGGGACACUGAGUAUUAGUUAAAAUCAAAUGAACAUACUGUAGUAUAAGCAUCACGGCUAGCAUACCUCCUUGGCACAGACAUCAGUUCAACUUUGAUUUACAUUUGGUUGAGACAUCAGUUCAUCGAGUUUUGAUUUACAUUUGGUUGAGAUGUCAAGUAACAUCAAUUCAACGUGAAAUCCCCCCCAAAAUUCACCAUGUUAUUGGAUUUAGAUGACAUUUUGGGCGAAAAAAAGACUACAUUCCCUUACGUUGAUAUAAGGGCCGUCGUCGUAAUAAGACCAAGGUGCAGCGGAGGAUGUGUAUUCAUUUAAAAUAUUUACUAAAAAUGAACCACUACAAACAAAACACUUGAUAGCAACAACAGCAAACAGUCCUGUCUGGUCCCAAAUGAACAAAACAGAAAACACUAGACAGAAACAAUCACCCACAAAAACCCAAAGGAAAAACAGGCUACUUAUGUGUGACUCCCAAUCAGCAACAACAAACUACAGCUGUGCCUGAUUGGAAGCCACACGGCCAAAAUCAACGAAACAAACCAACCUAGAAAAAAGAACAUAGAACGCCCACCCAAUGUAACACCCUGGCCUAACCAAAAUAAAGAUCAAAAACCCCUCUCUAUGGCCAGGGCGUUACAGUUGAUGAUUUUGACCAAAUCCAAACAGUUUUCCACCUUUAUUCAAUGUCAUCACAUUGUCCCCUGUGAUAAAAAGCAGUGCUGAGUGAUAGACUGAAUCUAAAGGUUUUAAAGCAGAUGCUGCUGCACACAUGUAGAUUAUAUCACCAUAGUCAAGCACUGUGAGAAGCGUUGCUUGAACAAUCUUCCUUCUACUUUCCAAUGUGAGGCAGGAUUUAUUUCUACAUUACAAAUAAAUCCUAAUUCUCA
Non-coding RNA from Salmo salar (Atlantic salmon), 1792 nucleotides. The record is from RefSeq and is a predicted model, not a curated record. Lineage: Eukaryota; Metazoa; Chordata; Actinopteri; Salmoniformes; Salmonidae.